AAACCCGUCUCCUUGGUUCUCAUCACCACACCCAAACCCUAUUCCCGAAACCGAGUUUUCGCCACCGAAAGUGAACGUUUCCAUGGACAAGACCCCUCUUGUGGACGAGUAAUCUCCAUAGGUAUACAAAUACUCACAAGCUCCUCUCUCUUGGUUGCAACUCGACCGAGGCAAGGCUUCACAAAGACCAGAAGAGCAUCCAAUUUUUGAGUAAGAAGAAGACUUUUUCGGGUCGAAAAUAGGAGUUGGUUGGUGGUAACAAUCCGUGCAAGGCUUGCAUUGAGUCCAUAUAAGGUCACUUCCAGUAUCUAAUACAGCCGAGUAUUUAACCGGAGGGUUUCCUAUAGCUAAAUCCAUAAGAAACUCACCGCUUCCGCCAUGAGUAGGUGCUUUAAUGUUGUUAGUAUCAUCAGGACCUGAUGAUUCAGCCAAAACAGCUGCAGCUCCUAACCUGUUUAGCCUGUGGAAUCCACGGUUAAUACCUCUUUGGAUCUUUUGGAUCUUUGUGAGGUUUUUACCGGAAUCCACAUGUUGUAGACUUAAUCGUAAACCGGAUCUUGGAAGGAUUGUUGGAGGAGGAUGGUUGGUUAAUGAUUUUCUUGAUGAUGAAAGAGCGAUGAAACAUGAGAAGAUGAUAAGAAAGAAAGGGAGUAACAAGGAGGAAGAAGAAGUCAUGGUUUGUGUUGCUUUAAAUCAUAUAUUAUAUGAUAAAAGUGAUAAUAUAAAACAUUAGUUUCAAUGCUUUUACGAUUAAAAAUCAAAAUGAUAAAUAUAGUAAUAGUAAUGAUUAGGAUUUAGUAGUGAGAUUUAAAUAAAUAAAAGAAUUGACUAAAUUAUUGUUGGAGAAAUAUAUGGUAACAUAUUGUUAGUAUAAAUUUAAGGUAAGACCACAAAAUAAUGAAUUAAAUGAAAGGGUCCAAAUAACUUUUAUAGGUAGAUUUUUUUAUACUUCUUGUCUUUUAAUAGUAUUGAUGAUUAUGGUUUCACAUGGACAUAUGAAAACAAAUAAUAUAACUCAGUUUUAGCCAUAGGUUUUCAAUUAGUUAUUUAACAAUAAGGAAAUUAAAAUGAUUUACAAAUAUUUCUUCUAUUUUUUCAUGUUUUCAACUAUUUAAAAACUUCUUUAAUUUUUCUUUGAAACUUGAUCUAUUUUAUUAAUUUUCAUUUUCUAUUUCCUCGGAGAUAUCUCUACUGGUGUAAAAAAUAUUGAAGAACUUGACAUUGUAACAACUCACAAAGCAUGAAAGUUUAUUAAUAAUAAGAGAAGCAAACAGUUAAAAUCUACAAUUUUCCACAUUCAGCGGGAAUAAAUGAGACCUUAUCCUUCUCAAGAUCAUGAACAACAUUAAAAUUCUGUUGCUGAAAGUUUCCAAAAAUAGACAUCCCAUUAGAUUUCCCCAUAGCCAAACACAAAACGCCCGUACUCGGAUCCUCCACCACGUAAUUCUCUCCGGGAAGCUCCAAAUCCGCACCCUUAAAAUGAAAAACAAGCUUAGGAACAGCUAAGUUCUUCGCCUCAUUAGGUAACGUAUAACACAAGUCAAGUCCUGUGGAUCCUGAUUCAUCUACUGGUAAACUCAUCCGAGAAGUAAACUCCCUCUUCAAGGUAUUAAACACAACCUCCUCUAGAUACGUGAUGGUCGUGCCAGAGUCUAUGAUCAUGCCUCCAGUUCCAUCUUCAGCUAGUUCGAACAUAGACUUUUCCAUAGAAAGACGUUUUGAUCCAACGGUGAUGCCUUGUAGGUCAAGGUAAUAGAACGAGGGCUGUCUAGGGUUUCGUAGCAAGGACGUGGUUUUGAUGAGUUCCCCUUCUGACCUUCCACCGCUUUUCUUGACGAUCUCCGAGGCUAGAGAUCCAAUGAACAGCGAGCUAGACGCUUCGGUAUCAUCAAUGGUGGUUAAACAAUAAGAGAACUUAGUCUCCUUGAGCUGAGUUAUAAGCGAGAGCGGUCCACGACCAAGACCUACAAGACCCGACCCUUGUGAAAACCCGUCUCCUUGGUUCUCAUCACCACACCCAAACCCUAUUCCCGAAACCGAGUUUUCGCCACCGAAAGUGAACGUUUCCAUGGACAAGACCCCUCUUGUGGACGAGUAAUCUCCAUAGGUAUACAAAUACUCACAAGCUCCUCUCUCUUGGUUGCAACUAGACCGAGGCAAGGCUUCACAAAGACCAGAAGAGCAUCCAAUUUUUGAGUAAGAAGAAGACUUUUUCGGGUCGAAAAUAGGAGU
Molecule: long non-coding RNA, 2232 nt
Filed under: Brassica napus (rape)
Lineage: Eukaryota; Viridiplantae; Streptophyta; Magnoliopsida; Brassicales; Brassicaceae
Description: long non-coding RNA (BNAP_LNC002032)
Source: RNAcentral